AUUGAACGCUGGCGGAAUGCCUAACACAUGCAAGUCGAGCGGGGUGUAGCAAUACACCUAGCGGCGGACGGGUGAGCAAUACAUAGGAAUCUGCCUCAGAGUGGGGGAUAGCCCGGGGAAACCCGGAUUAAUACCGCAUGAUGUCGCAAGACCAAAGUGGGGGACCGUAAGGCCUCACGCUCUGAGAUGAGCCUAUGUCUGAUUAGCUAGUUGGCGGGGUAAUGGCCCACCAAGGCGACGAUCAGUAGCUGGUUUGAGAGAACGAUCAGCCACACCG
RNAcentral lists this ribosomal RNA (277 nucleotides) under uncultured bacterium. RNAcentral describes it as "partial 16S ribosomal RNA". It matches the Rfam family "Bacterial small subunit ribosomal RNA", at positions 30 to 315 of the family's 1533-position model. The record is from RNAcentral.